GUGGUAACACACACUGGAGGACCGAACCGACUAGUGUUGCAAAAUUAGCGGAUGAGCUGUGGAUAGGGGUGAAAGGCUUAACAAAUCUGGAGAUAGCUGGUUCUCCCCGAAAACUAUUGAGGUAGUGCCUCGUGUAUUGCUCCAGGGGGUAGAGCACUGUUAUGGCUAGGGGGACAUGGCGUCUUACCAAACCAUGGCAAACUCCGAAUACUUGGAAGUAAGAGCACGGGAGACAGAGCACCGGGUGCUAACGUCCGGACUCAAGAGGGAAACAACCCAGACCGCCGUUUAAGGUCCCAAAUAUUGACUAAGUGGAAAACGAAGUGUGAAGGCUAAGACAGUCAGGAAGUUGGCUUAGAAGCAGCCAUCCUUCAAAGAAAGCGUAAUAGCUCACUGAUCGAGUCCUCAUGCGCGGAAGAUGUAACGGGGCUAAGUCAAUAACCGAAAGCGCGGAUUUGCAUGAAAAUGCAAGUGGUAGGGGAGCGUUCUGUAAGCCUGCGAAGGUGGUUCGAGAGGACUGCUGGAGGUAUCAGAAGUGCGAAUGCUGACAUGAGUAACGUUAAAGCGGGUGAAAAGCCCGCUCGCCGUAAGCCCAAGGUUUCCUGCUCUACGUUCAUCGGAGCAGGGUGAGUCGGCCCCUAAGGCCAGGCUGAGAAGCGUAGUCGAUGGGAAGCAGAUUAAUAUUUCUGCACCAUGUGCAAGUGCGAUGGGGGGACGGAGUGCGAAAGAUCAUCCGGGUGUUGGAUGUCCCGGUUUGUGAGUGUAGAAGGCCGACAGGCAAAUCCGUCGGCAGAUCUUCGAGACAAAGCAUCGAGGUUCUACGGAACCGAAGUGAUCGGAAGUGCUUCCAGGAAAAGCCUCUAAGCUUCAGCUUGUACAUGACCGUACCGUAAACCGACACUGGUGGGCGAGUUGAAUAUACUCAGGCGCUUGAGAGAACUCGGGAGAAGGAACUCGGCAAAUUGACACCGUAACUUCGGGAUAAGGUGUGCCUUUGUAGCGUGAAGAGAGAAACACUCGGAGCGUGAAGAGGCCUCAGAGAAUCGGUGGCUGCAACUGUUUAUUAAAAACACAGCACUCUGCAAAGACGAAAGUCGACGUAUAGGGUGUGAUGCCUGCCCGGUGCUGGAAGAUUAAGUGAUGGGGUGAGAGCUCCUGAUCGAAGUCCCAGUAAACGGCGGCCGUAACUAUAACGGUCCUAAGGUAGCGAAAUUCCUUGUCGGGUAAGUUCCGACCUGCACGA
RNAcentral lists this ribosomal RNA (1243 nucleotides) under human gut metagenome. Its description in RNAcentral is "bacterial LSU rRNA". It matches the Rfam family "Bacterial large subunit ribosomal RNA", at positions 753 to 1995 of the family's 2925-position model. The record is from RNAcentral.